Molecule: long non-coding RNA, 314 nt
Organism: Limulus polyphemus (Atlantic horseshoe crab)
Lineage: Eukaryota; Metazoa; Arthropoda; Merostomata; Xiphosura; Limulidae
Exons: 3
Source: RefSeq, a predicted model, not a curated record
CAGCUGAUGGAGGAUGGGGACUGUGGUCUUCCUGGGAAUGUCAUCAAAAUAUUGCUAAAAGAUUCCGUUUUUGUGAUAAUCCACCCCGCAGGAAACUUGGAAGAGAUUGUGUGGGUAGUAGUACAGAAAUCCACCUAAGAAGUCAAUCUCCAAAUAAUUUUUAUAAAAUCUGCCCACAUUUAAAACCUACCAUUAACCCUGAUAUACAAGGUUCAGGGAGUGGAAGUGGAGACAAUGAAUGAAUGAAAAUCUCAUCUCAAGAUGGAUAUAAUGUAUGACAACCUCAGGCAUAAUAAAAUGUUUUUAACCAUACA